This 646-nucleotide long non-coding RNA is filed under the name Nicotiana tabacum (common tobacco). RNAcentral's name for it is "long non-coding RNA (NTAB_LNC012544)". The record is from RNAcentral. Lineage: Eukaryota; Viridiplantae; Streptophyta; Magnoliopsida; Solanales; Solanaceae.
UUUAGGCUUUCCACUAAUGGUGCAGCUUUCUAUGGUUGAUCAACCAGGUUAGCUUUAGCGGAUGCAUAUCCAUCUUCUAUCUCGUGACUAUGAGACUAUGUUUUUUUAAAGUCUCCAAAUCCCUGUAGUUCUUUCUUACUUCUCAGGUUUUUGUUUUCUUGCAUAGUGCUUGUUGAAGGCUUUGAUUUGUUGGUUUUAUUCACAGUACACCAUUUUCAAAACCAUGACGCACACAGUAUAGAUGGUUGGAUUUAAGCAAACAACAGGAGUUUGCAUAUUAACUUCCAGCGAUAACUUCGGCCAUACUAUUGUAUUAUUUAACUGAUUCCAUUCAACAAGUUAUUGCCUUUCCAUUUCCAUCAUUUUAUCUGUUCUCAGCUUCAAUAGUGUCUGACCAGUUCCUUGCCUUUUUUUCUUUUGCUUUUUUCUGAUGGUAUAUAAAGAUGAUUCUCCAACAUCAGUUGUGAGGAUACCCAGAGCAUGUAUUUUAAGCCCAGAUAGACAAGGGAUUCCAUCAUCAACAGGUUACAUACAUCUUUUUUCAACUUUUGGUUACCUCCUAUUUUAAUAGUGGAUUGGCAUUCACUCUGUUGAUUGGGCAGGGAGAACCAAGGACAAUAACCAAAACAGUUCUUGUGGAAGCAAA